AGCAGCCGCGGUAAUUCCAGCUCCAAUAGCGUAUAUUAAAGUUGCUGCAGUUAAAAAGCUCGUAGUUGAAUUUCGGGACCAUCAUGUCGGUCGUGCCUCGGUACGUACUGGCAUCGUCGGUUUCUCCCUUCUGACGAACCAUGAUGUCAUUUAUUUGGUGUCGUGGGGAAUCAGGACUGUUACUUUGAAAAAAUUAGAGUGUUUAAAGCAGGCUCACGCUUGAAUACAUUAGCAUGGAAUAAUGAAAUAGGACGUUUAAUUCUAUUUUGUUGGUUUCUAGGAUCGACGUAAUGAUUAAUAGGGAUAGUUGGGGGCAUUAGUACUCAAUUGUCAGAGGUGAAAUUCUUGGAUUUAUUGAAGACUAACUACUGCGAAAGCAUUUGCCAAGGAUGUUUUCAUUAAUCAAGAACGAAAGUUAGGGGAUCGAAGACGAUCAGAUACCGUCGUAGUCUUAACCAUAAACUAUGCCGACUAGGAAUCGGAUGAUGUUAAUUUUUAAUGACUCGUUUGGCACCUUAAC
Molecule: ribosomal RNA, 520 nt
Filed under: uncultured Glomus
Lineage: Eukaryota; Fungi; Glomeromycota; Glomeromycetes; Glomerales; Glomeraceae
Description: SSU rRNA
Rfam family: Eukaryotic small subunit ribosomal RNA
Source: RNAcentral